GACGAACGCUGGCGGCGUGCCUAAUACAUGCAAGUAGAACGCACAGUUUAUACCGUAGCUUGCUACACCAUAGACUGUGAGUUGCGAACGGGUGAGUAACGCGUAGGUAACCUGCCUGGUAGCGGGGGAUAACUAUUGGAAACGAUAGCUAAUACCGCAUAAUAUUAAUUAUUGCAUGAUAAUUAAUUGAAAGGUGCAAUUGCACCACUACCAGAUAGACCUGCGUUGUAUUAGCUAGUAGGUGAGGUAACGGCUCACCUAGGCGACGAUACAUAGCCGACCUGAGAGGGUGAUCGGCCACACUGGGACUGAGACACGGCCCAGACUCCUACGGGAGGCAGCAGUAGGGAAUCUUCGGCAAUGGACGAAAGUCUGACCGAGCAACGCCGCGGGAGUGAAGAAGGGUUUCGGAUCGUAAAGCUCUGUUGUAAGAGAAGAACGGGUGUGAGAGUGGAAAGUUCACACUGUGACGGUAUCUUACCAGAAAGGGACGGCUAACUACGUG
Molecule: ribosomal RNA, 505 nt
Filed under: uncultured bacterium
Lineage: Bacteria
Description: partial 16S ribosomal RNA
Rfam family: Bacterial small subunit ribosomal RNA
Source: RNAcentral